This 253-nucleotide ribosomal RNA is filed under the name uncultured bacterium. Its description in RNAcentral is "partial 16S ribosomal RNA". It matches the Rfam family "Bacterial small subunit ribosomal RNA", at positions 524 to 776 of the family's 1533-position model. The record is from RNAcentral.
AACGUAGGACGCAAGCGUUAUCCGGAGUUACUGGGCGUAAAGCGCGAGCAGGCGGCUCGACAAGUUCGAUGUGAAAGCGCCCGGCUCAACCGGGCGAGGCCAUUGGAAACUAUCGAGCUGGAGGGCAGUAGAGGCAGGCGGAAUUCCGGGUGGAGUGGUGAAAUGCGUAGAGAUCCGGAGGAACACCAGAGGCGAAGGCGGCCUGCUGGGCUGCACCUGACGCUGAGCCGCGAAAGCGUGGGGAGCGAACAGG